CUCUGGAGAGAACGAGAGAGAAGAACGCCAAGAAAGACAGCAGGAGAAACCAGAAACUUCGAGAAGUCUGAUAAAGAAGAGAAUCUGAGCUGAGACUAGGCCAAAGAAAAGGACUCACUGUGCAUGAAGAUUUUUUUCUGUUGGACCAAACAGCACUUCGAACAGGUUUCAAAGAUGUCCCAUAAAAGACCUUUGCCAGGACAAAAGCAAAACCUUUUAUUUUAUUUAAAGAACCAGCCAAGUGAGAAAAG
Long non-coding RNA from Alosa sapidissima (American shad), 251 nucleotides. RefSeq lists it as uncharacterized. The transcript has 3 exons. The record is from RefSeq and is a predicted model, not a curated record. NCBI's taxonomy places the organism in Eukaryota, Metazoa, Chordata, Actinopteri, Clupeiformes, Clupeidae.